Molecule: long non-coding RNA, 1203 nt
Organism: Hippocampus zosterae (dwarf seahorse)
Lineage: Eukaryota; Metazoa; Chordata; Actinopteri; Syngnathiformes; Syngnathidae
Exons: 3
Source: RefSeq, a predicted model, not a curated record
UUAAAGAUAAGAUAUCCUUUAUUUGUCCCACAAUGGGGUAUUUGAGUGCCCCCGUUUGUUUUUCUCGUGAUAUGACCAUCUUUCUUGAGAUGAAAGGCGUUUUCUCGAUAUAUUACGGCUUUUUUUCCCCGAUAGAAGCACAACUCUUUUAUCUUCUCAUUGGUGUUCAUUUUUAUUGGAUUGGGGGUGAGGGGACAUUUUUGCGUCUUCUAAAGGUUCAAGUGUGGUUUUAAUGAAAUUUUCACCAUAUCCAUCCAUCCAUUUUCUAAUCUGCUUCUCCUCACAAGGGUCGCGGGCGUGCCUCUCCCAGCCUGUCUUGGGGCAGUCGGCGGGUGGCACCCUGAACUGGUCGCCAGGAGUUCAGAACGUGUCGUUGGACGAAGUCAUCGGCGUGGCGUACAGGAAGCCGACGCCUCUUCUUCCUGUUUAGUCUGGCUUCUGAUUACCCCCCCCCCCCCCCCACACACACACACACACACACAUUCUAAAAAACAAGUCAUCCUCAUACCCAAAAUGCACCUGUCACCAUAAUCAAUCAAUUCGAGGAUCUGCUUGAAUUUGGUGACUUGGUUUGUGGAUUAAUGACCGCGCGAAGCCGACUGAAGCAUGCUUGAGUAAAUCUGCUUCAGUCGGGCGAAGGCGGCGAAUCGGGAAAUUGCGUCAUCGUGUGUCUUUUUUUUCGGCAUGUUCGACUUCAAGCGCUCGGAAAAAAAAAGGUGGUGGGGGGGGGUGGAGGGAAGCAGACAUGCUGUCAUUCUAUAGACGCCACGUACGCCCUUAUUUGGACAUGCGCGCUUGUGUUUUCGCUGUCAACUCUGAGUCAAGUGAUGUGACGCCAUCAAACGAGGCGGAGGAAGAAAGCAUAAAGGCCCGAACAUCACGAGAAUUACGAGAAAUCUGACCAUCCAUUCUAUUAUCUGAACUCCACACGGGAAGGUCAGGUCUUGGAAAUCCAACCCCAGACCUCUGCACUGCGAGGCGUACAUGCUAACCGGUCAAGCACCGCACCACCCGGAAAUCUGUCUGUUUUCGCAAAUUAAAUGUAACUUUUUUUUUUCUCAGAAAAAAAAUCCUAAUGUCGUCUCUCACAAUUCUGACUUUAUUUUAUAAUAUUGCAAUGAGACAAACACAAACACACACACUCACACACAUUCCCACCAGUUUCUUUUCUUCAUUUGCUUGCAUGAAUUUUGUCUGACUUGU